CCUACGGGUGGCAGCAGUAGGGAAUAUUGCACAAUGGGGGAAACCCUGAUGCAGCAACGCCGCGUGGAGGAUGAAGGUUUUCGGUUUGUAACCUUCUUUUGUUAGAGAAGAUAAUGACGGUAUCUAACGAAUAAGCCCCGGCUAACUCCGUGCCAGCAGCCGCGGUAAUACGGAGGGUGCAAGCGUUACUCGGAAUUACUGGGCGUAAAGAGCGCGUAGGCGGGAUAGCAAGUCAGAUGUGAAAUCCUAGGGCUUAACCACAGAACUGCAUUUGAAACUGUUAUACUAGAGUAUGGGAGAGGUAGGUGGAAUUCGUGGUGUAGGGGUAAAAUGCGUAGAGAUCAAGAGGAACACUAGUGGCGAAGGCGACCUGCUAGAACAUAAAUGACGCUGAGGCGCGAAAGCGUGGGGAGCAAACAGGAUUAGAUACCCGGGUAGUC
RNAcentral lists this ribosomal RNA (440 nucleotides) under uncultured bacterium. RNAcentral describes it as "partial 16S ribosomal RNA". It matches the Rfam family "Bacterial small subunit ribosomal RNA", at positions 338 to 795 of the family's 1533-position model. The record is from RNAcentral.